Molecule: unclassified non-coding RNA, 345 nt
Filed under: soil metagenome
Description: partial contains 5.8S ribosomal RNA, internal transcribed spacer 2, and large subunit ribosomal RNA
Rfam family: 5.8S ribosomal RNA (bases 1-119)
Source: RNAcentral
GAUGAAGAACGUAGCGAAAUGCGAUACGUAAUGUGAAUUGCAAAUUCAGUGAAUCAUCGAGUCUUUGAACGCACAUUGCGCCCCCUGGUAUUCCGGGGGGCAUGCCUGUCCGAGCGUCAUUGCUGCCCUCAAGCACGGCUUGUGUGUUGGGCCCCGUCCUCCGAUCCCGGGGGACGGGCCCGAAAGGCAGCGGCGGCACCGCGUCCGGUCCUCGAGCGUAUGGGGCUUUGUCACCCGCUCUGUAGGCCCGGCCGGCGCUUGCCGAUCAACCCAAAUUUUUUAUCCAGGUUGACCUCGGAUCAGGUAGGGAUACCCGCUGAACUUAAGCAUAUAAUAAGCGGAGGA